This 817-nucleotide long non-coding RNA is filed under the name Homo sapiens (human). RNAcentral describes it as "non-protein coding THAP9-AS1:33". The record is from RNAcentral. Lineage: Eukaryota; Metazoa; Chordata; Mammalia; Primates; Hominidae.
GCAUUUGACCGCUCCUCCCUCCGCGUUGGAGGCGGAAUAGUGGGUUUUGCUGCAACCGGUUUAUUUUCCUUCUGUUUUCACCCAUUCUGGCACAAUCUGGCGCCAUCGUCCUUCUUGUGAGGCCAAGCCUGAAAAUGCGAAGCAGAGAGGCAGGACCAAAAUUGAGGCGAAUCCAGGAACCUGCCAAUGGGUCUCCGGGUGCGGUCUCUGAAACUGGAGGAUAUCGGGAGGAAAGGGUAUGGAAGAGGGAUAAAACACGGUGCCUUAGGUGUGUUGAAGACAGAGUCGGGCCAAAAAUAUAUGAUUUACUGAGAUGCGUGUCGUGUUCUUGCGCUUUAUCUUGUAGCUCUCCGAUGCGGAGAUAAUGGGGAAGCUCUUGGCAUGGUUGGCUGUAGGUAUGUGAUACCGGAGGAGCAGGAGUCAAAUAGGAUACGCCGACUUUUAAUUCAAGGAACCCUUUUCUGAAACACUUUGCCACAAUGAAGGAAAUAAGGAAUUGUACUCUCAGAGAUGUUGAGAAAAGAUACAUGGGUCUUGGAAGAUAAUUACUCAAAAUAUGCAGGGAAGGUAUGGGACUUACACAUUUAUUUUGAUAAAAGAACACAGAAAAGGUCAGGUAUGAGCAGAAAAUUGACAUUUAUUUCAGCCUAAUGUGGAUACUGUACUCUGAAUUAAAAAUUUCUUUUCCUUACUCUUCCAGCUUUUAAAGAUAAGUAUUAUUUCAAAAUAGUAUUUUUUUAAUUAAUAGAUUCAAUUCAGGAAAGGCAUUGGAGGGGGUGGAGCUUUUAACUUUGACAGUCUCACUCUGUUGCCCAGG